RNAcentral lists this long non-coding RNA (1035 nucleotides) under Bos taurus (domestic cattle). RNAcentral's name for it is "long non-coding RNA NONBTAT000556". Lineage: Eukaryota; Metazoa; Chordata; Mammalia; Artiodactyla; Bovidae. The record is from RNAcentral.
GCAUUGAGGCUAAUGGUUUUCUCUAAAACAAUGUGUCCUCCUCAUGACUGUUCUGAAACAGUUUUUCCCCAGGAAGGAAAAACUGACUUAGGCAGUGUUCCUUUGCCCAUGACCUUGGAAGUUCAGCCCAGAAUGCUGAGGGUGACAAGUAACUAGGAUCUAGAAGGCUGUCACAAAACUAACAUUGUGCGUGCUGACAAUUAAACAACAACAACAACAAAUGUAGCUAUUGUCAUCAUAACAUUGUAGAUGUGCCCUAAAUAACCACAUACUAUAUAUGCCAUGACCAAAUGAAUGCAUGAGGGCUCCCAUGAAACGAAUAAAUGAUAUGGUCUGGUAAAGAAUCUGCAGGAGACCCCGGUUCAAUUCCUGGGUCAGGAAGAUCCGCUGGAAAAGGGAUAGGCUACCCACUCCAGUACUCUAGCCUAGAGAAUGGUUCAUGGGGUCGCAAAGAGUCAGACACGACUGAGCGUCUUUCACCUCACUUUCAGAUGGGUUAAUUAAUUACCAACAGGGACAGGAAGCAGAUUGGUUGCCCCACUAAGCAGAGAGUUCACAGAGGGAUUUCCCAGAGCCACUGGGGAGUGGAGCGUCAGUAGACAGUGGUGGGGGAGCAGAACGUCAACCUGAAACUAUAGGGCCCUGAGAAAGAUCUGAGAAAGAUACCCUGUCACUCCCAGAGCUGCAGGGAACUGAAAGAGAAGUCCAGUCCUGGAGGUGGAGCUUGCGGAGACAGAACAGCCACUUCCUGGGCUUGCGUUUGGAGAGGUAUCCCCAAAUCUGGGCUCUCACAGUGAAACAGGAAGAACUAAACGAGGAGAAUUAAGGCUUUUAAACCUGAAGCAAACUAACUGACAGCAUGAAGCCAAACUAAGUAACUCUGUAUGGUCUGGAUGUGGCAAACAACCCACCCAGAGGAUGGAAACAGCCAUUCCACCUACGUACAUCCCUCCCCCCUGCCCACUCUCCAGACCUCUGCCAAGAGCCCGUUGACCACAGGCAUAGCCUUGCCCUUCCUCCACCCCAUAACCCCCA